Canis lupus familiaris (dog) is the source of this 921-nucleotide long non-coding RNA. RefSeq lists it as uncharacterized. Lineage: Eukaryota; Metazoa; Chordata; Mammalia; Carnivora; Canidae. The record is from RefSeq and is a predicted model, not a curated record. The transcript is spliced from 2 exons.
GCGUCGCUUACCUUCGGCCUUCUGGGCGGAGUGGGCGGGGCCGCGAGUCCGGUGACCGCGGACUCGGCUUCCGGCCACGCCCCCACCCCCGCGACUUCUGGGCCACAGGCGCUAGGCUUCCUACCUCGUAGUGCGGCCUUCGGCCUCCAGGACCCUUCACAUCGUAGCGAUACGUAGGCCUGCUUGGCCCCUUAUCCUAACCCAAGCGCUUUUCUACCCGCUUCUUCGGACUCUGGCCACCGUCCUGUGAGCUGUGCUGGCGACGGGUGCUAAUUAGCUCCUUUCUGGUUGAGGGAACUGAAGCACCCAGCUAGCGGUUUGAGUAGCCCCUGGCAGCUGCCCUCUUGGCAGGACCGGCUCCCGGAAGAUUUCUUCCUCAGUGGCAAAGCCCCUGUCUUCGCACCCGUAGUUGACCAGUUCUCGCCUGUGGAAUGGCAACGAAGAGCUGGAUGGUUACCUCAGAGCCUGUUCGCUUUUGGAAGAGGAAUGAAAGGGAAGACGCAGGGGUAUUUUGUUGGUUGUCAGUUGGCUCCUUAUUUACAAGUUGGGAUAGUUCAGGAAAAAUCUGGACUUCUAUGGAGAAAUCAGAAUGCUGGCCGCAUGAGAGAGACCCACAUUCCUACGUGGCUUACUGGCCCAGUGCUAAUCAGCACCUUGACGCCCUUAGAGGAUACAUGUGUUCCUCCCACUGCUCCUGUCUUCUCAUCUCCGGCCACUGUAAGCCUGUAGUUUGCAGGCCCCACCUGUUUUUGCCUAACUGGGCCUUCCAAGGGGCAGUCGAGUCCUUUACAGCAGCUCUGCUCCUCAGUGACUUUGUGACUUUUGAGGUAGCUAGCUAGCUGAUCUCUCUGGGUGAAUGUCAUCUUGUCAUCCUUAAAACUGAGGUAAUAAAACUUACCCCCUAUGUGUGUUGUGAUUAAA